Non-coding RNA from Ictidomys tridecemlineatus (thirteen-lined ground squirrel), 70 nucleotides. Lineage: Eukaryota; Metazoa; Chordata; Mammalia; Rodentia; Sciuridae. The record is from Rfam.
GAGGAUAUAGCUCAAGGGGAGAGCACUUGCCUAACACAUAGGAGGCCCUGGGUUCAAUCCCCAGCACUCA